UCCGAGCUCAUAGGAAGUAAUGGUCCCCAGAAGUUCUGCAUAGACAAAGUGGGGAAGGAGACUUGGCUUCCAAGAAGCCACACAUGCUUCAAUCGUCUGGAUCUGCCUCCCUACCGAAGCCUGGAACAGCUCCGAGAGAAGCUCCUGUUCGCCAUCGAGGAGACGGAGGGAUUUGGACAGGAGUGAGACGAGGAGGCAGAGACGGACGACACUUAAAUCGACGAAUAGUUUUUUGUUAUUGGUCUUAUUUUGCGUUUGUUUGUUCAUCACAGGGCUGAGGAGUCACCUGUCAGCUAAACAAGCCCUCCCUGGGCGAGGAUCAUGUUAGUGAGCUAGUGAGCUGAAUCAUGGGAUCAGGCUUGAGGCACAGGAACACAGAAGAGUGAAUGCUUACGUGUGUGUGUGUGUGGGUGUGUGUGUGGUUGCUCAUGUUAAUGCCAUUGUGUAUUUGCAUAUAAAUGGUGUGUAUGUGUGUGGAUUAAACAGGAUGACCACUCCCCCCCUCCUUACUCACUGCUUAGAACCGCACCAAAACCAGACGACAUGAUAGUUUUAAUGUCAGCAGCGACUCACAGCGACAGCACAGCUACCCGCAAAUGCAGUACAACAUAUCUACCAGAGAGACGUACAUUUUAAGCAUAUUAAAGCAGCGAGACGGCAGCGUGUGAGAGGAAGCUGUUAUCGUGAACUAGUGCGCCUCUGUUACAGAGGUCAGAGAGAUGAGAUGCGAUUUUAUUUUUUCUGUUGAUUGUGAAAUUCAGUCGAUUUCUCCUGUAUAUAACUCAAAUAAAUGAGAUUUCAGUCAUAA
Maylandia zebra (zebra mbuna) is the source of this 808-nucleotide non-coding RNA. NCBI's taxonomy places the organism in Eukaryota, Metazoa, Chordata, Actinopteri, Cichliformes, Cichlidae. The record is from RefSeq and is a predicted model, not a curated record.